CUGAUGUGUUUUUAUAUCAUACAUAUUUAUAACAGUGAUCUUCUCUAGAGCAAUAUCUGUAAUCUGAUAAUAAAUCUGUAUUCUGUAGUUCUGCUGCUUUUACUAAAGCACUGAUGGGAUAUGGAUCUUGGCCUGCAGGGAAAUCGGGAAAUCCUGAUUCAUCUGUGAUCAUCAAGAGGCCAGUCACGCACGCCAGUUGUCCUCCCACAGCCUCAUCAUCCUCAUCGUCCUUGUCAUCCUCAUCCUCAUCCUCAUCAUCCUCAUCGGCCUCAUCAUCCUCUUUGGCCUCAUCAACCUCAUCAUCCUCGUCAUCCUCAUCAUCCUUGUUGUCUUCAUCAUCCUCAUCGGCCUCAUUGGCCUCUUCCGCGUCUUCGGCCUCAUCAUCCUCAUCCUCAUCAUCCUCAUCAUCCUCAUCAUCCUCAUCAUCCUCAUCGGCCUCUUCGGCCUCAUCAUCCUCAUCAUCCUCAUUGGCCUCUUCGGCCUCAUCAUCCUCAUCAUCCUCAUCAGCCUCAUCAUCCUCUUCGGCCUCAUCAACCUCAUCAUCCUCGUCAUCCUCAUCAUCCUUGUUGUCUUCAUCAUCCUCAUCAGCCUCAUUGGCCUCUUCCGCGUCUUCGGCCUCAUCAUCCUCAUCGGCCUCUUCGGCCUCAUCAUCCUCAUCAUCCUCAUCAUCCUCAUCGGCCUCUUCGGCCUCAUCAUCCUCAUCAUCCUCAUCAGCCUCUUCGGCCUCAUCAUCCUCAUCAUCCUCAUCAUCCUCUCCUCAUCAUCCUCAUCAUCCUCAUCAUCCUCCUCAUCCUCAUCAUCCUCAUCAUCCUCAUCAUCCUCAUCAUCUCAUCCUCGUCCUCCUCGUCAUCCUCAUCAUCCUCGUCCUCCUCAUCAUCCUCGUCAUCCUCGGCCUCCUCAUCCUCCUCAUCAGUUCAUCUCCAGAGGUCAUGGACUCUUUACAACAACAACAAAACGCGAGCGCUGACUCCACUUAUUUCAAUAUAUUGACGUUGUGUCCACACGUGUGUUAUCUCCAGUAUGAAAGAUUUUUUAAACCAGAUGAGAUUAAAUGAUGAUGUUGUUGUGAUGGAACCCGACAG
Molecule: long non-coding RNA, 1082 nt
Filed under: Cottoperca gobio
Lineage: Eukaryota; Metazoa; Chordata; Actinopteri; Perciformes; Bovichtidae
Description: lncRNA (ENSCGOG00000005028.1)
Source: RNAcentral